Molecule: transfer RNA, 19 nt
Filed under: Rubus arcticus (Arctic raspberry)
Lineage: Eukaryota; Viridiplantae; Streptophyta; Magnoliopsida; Rosales; Rosaceae
Also listed under: 23 other names
Description: partial tRNA-Phe
Source: RNAcentral
UGGUCGGGAUAGCUCAGCU